Non-coding RNA from Paecilomyces variotii, 109 nucleotides. The record is from the annotation of a RefSeq genome assembly. NCBI's taxonomy places the organism in Eukaryota, Fungi, Ascomycota, Eurotiomycetes, Eurotiales, Thermoascaceae.
AGCGAGCUGGUGUAAUGGAAGCACGCCUGUUAGGACGGUACCUUACCUCUCUUUCGGGGUAGGCCCUCACGGGCUCGCAGGUAUCCGGGUUCGACUCCCGGGCUCGCAA